RNAcentral lists this non-coding RNA (48 nucleotides) under Schistosoma haematobium. Lineage: Eukaryota; Metazoa; Platyhelminthes; Trematoda; Strigeidida; Schistosomatidae. The record is from RNAcentral.
AUCCGGCUGACGAGUCGCAAACAGGACGAAACGCGCGUCAAACUGGAU